CGGUGCCACGCGUGGCGCCCCUGUCCGGUUGCGCGAGAGUU
This 41-nucleotide small nucleolar RNA is filed under the name Trypanosoma cruzi marinkellei. RNAcentral describes it as "Trypanosomatid snoRNA TB11Cs4H3". It matches the Rfam family "Trypanosomatid snoRNA TB11Cs4H3", at positions 34 to 74 of the family's 74-position model. The record is from Rfam by way of RNAcentral. Lineage: Eukaryota; Euglenozoa; Kinetoplastea; Trypanosomatida; Trypanosomatidae.